Molecule: ribosomal RNA, 446 nt
Filed under: uncultured bacterium
Lineage: Bacteria
Description: bacterial SSU rRNA
Rfam family: Bacterial small subunit ribosomal RNA
Source: RNAcentral
UCCAGACUCCUACGGGAGGCAGCAGUGGGGAAUAUUGCACAAUGGGGGAAACCCUGAUGCAGCGACGCCGCGUGAAGGAAGAAGUAUUUCGGUAUGUAAACUUCUAUCAGCAGGGAAGAAAAUGACGGUACCUGACUAAGAAGCCCCGGCUAACCACGUGCCAGCAGCCGCGGUAAUACGUAGGGGGCAAGCGUUAUCCGGAUUUACUGGGUGUAAAGGGGGCGUAGACGGCAGAGCAAGUCUGAAGUGAAAGCCCGCGGCCCAACUGCGGGACUGCUUUGGAAACUGCCCGGCUAGAGUGCUGGAGAGGUAAGCGGAAUUCCUAGUGUAGCGGUGAAAUGCGUAAAUAUUAGGAGGAACACCAGUGGCGAAGGCGGCCUGCUGGGCUUUAACUGACGCUGAGGCUCGAAGGCGUGGGUAGCAAACAGGAUUAGAUACCCGCGUAC